This 217-nucleotide unclassified non-coding RNA is filed under the name plant metagenome. RNAcentral's name for it is "partial contains small subunit ribosomal RNA, internal transcribed spacer 1, and 5.8S ribosomal RNA". The record is from RNAcentral.
CCUCCGUAGGUGAACCUGCGGAGGGAUCAUUACAAGUGACCCCGGUCUUACCACCGGGAUGUUCAUAACCCUUUGUUGUCCGACUCUGUUGCCUCCGGGGCGACCCUGCCUUCGGGCGGGGGCUCCGGGUGGACACUUCAAACUCUUGCGUAACUUUGCAGUCUGAGUAAACUUAAUUAAUAAAUUAAAACUUUUAACAACGGAUCUCUUGGUUCUG